This is a non-coding RNA of Dictyocaulus viviparus (bovine lungworm), 84 nucleotides long. NCBI's taxonomy places the organism in Eukaryota, Metazoa, Nematoda, Chromadorea, Rhabditida, Metastrongylidae. The record is from Rfam.
GCCCGUGUGGCGGAAUUGGUAAACGCAGCGGAGUUAAAAUCCGUGAGUUUUAUGGCCUUGAGAGUUCAAGUCUGCCCAUGGGCA